This 263-nucleotide unclassified non-coding RNA is filed under the name Hevea brasiliensis (rubber tree). Lineage: Eukaryota; Viridiplantae; Streptophyta; Magnoliopsida; Malpighiales; Euphorbiaceae. The record is from RNAcentral.
CAAUGGCCUCCUCUGCUCCAUACUUUCUAUUAUCUUCUCUCCUCUUCUUAUUCUUCCUUUUAUUCUCCCCUUCUUUUGCUCAACAAUCCUUCCGCCCCAAGGCCCUCGUCGUUCCAGUCUCAAAAGAUGCUUCCACUCGCCAAUAUGUUACCCAAAUAGAACAGAGGACCCCUCUAGUGCCCAUUAACCUUGUUGUUCACCUUGGUGGCAAAUUCCUCUGGGUUGAUUGCGACCAAGGUUAUGUCUCUUCCACUUACCGCCCG